This 468-nucleotide ribosomal RNA is filed under the name uncultured bacterium. Its description in RNAcentral is "partial 16S ribosomal RNA". It matches the Rfam family "Bacterial small subunit ribosomal RNA", at positions 28 to 507 of the family's 1533-position model. The record is from RNAcentral.
GACGAACGCUGGCGGCGUGCUUAACACAUGCAAGUCGAACGGAAGGGCCCUGCUUUUGUGGGGUGCUCGAGUGGCGAACGGGUGAGUAACACGUGAGUAACCUGCCCUUGACUUUGGGAUAACUUCAGGAAACUGGGGCUAAUACCGGAUAGGAGCUCCUGCUGCAUGGUGGGGGUUGGAAAUUUUCGGCGGGUGGGGAUGGACUCGCGGCUUAUGAGCUUGUUGGUGGGGGAGUGGCUUACCCAGGCUUUGACGGGUAGCCGGCCUGAGAGGGUGACCGGCCACAUUGGGACUGAGAUACGGCCCAGACUCCUACGGGAGGCAGCAGUGGGGAAUCUUGCACAAUGGGCGGAAGCCUGAUGCAGCAACGCCGCGUGCGGGAUGACGGCCUUCGGGUUGUAAACCGCUUUCGCCUGUGACGAAGCGUGAGUGACGGUAAUGGGUAAAGAAGCACCGGCUAACUACGUG